GGCUUCCUAGGGCUUGAGAAGGUGGAGGUUGCUCUGAGGGUGAGCUGUGGGGGCUUCAAACCCACAGUGAAAUUCGAAAGUGGCCCCUGAAGGCAAGGGAGAGGCCGAAGGAAGAGGCAGGCCACUCCAGAAGGGUAGGCGGCGGGAUUUAAAAGGCGAGGGAACUUACCGAGGACACUUGGCCGGGGCGGCCACAAGACGAGUAGAUUGGCACCUGCUGGCCGGCCCCUGCAGGAUUUUAUAGAGACCCCAGUGGGGUUCGGUCACAUGUGCGCCCCACGUGGUAUCAACGCCACGAUACCCUCUCAAGCCUGCAUCCUCAGAAAGGGCAGGACGGGGGAGGGGUGAGCAGCCUGCCAUUGUCCGGCCAGCCGACUGGCCUUCUGAAUGACCUCGAGCAACAGGCCACAGCCAGAGGUUAAGAAGCAAGCCCACUGCAGGGCUGAGGUGGCCAGAUGAGGAGAAGAGGUGACGGGCACUGAAGAUUGCACUUCUGGACUCUUUCAUCCGUAUCUCUCUACUCCCAUUUGCUUUUUUUUUUUUUUUUUUUUUAAACCUCCUCCUGGCUGGAAGCAUCUGCUCCUGGUUUAACACCUGGAGUCGUCAGGAGCCACCACGUGGCACCCACCGGGGAGGAGAGCAGAGUGAAAAGAUUAGAAGCCAGCCCCAAGCCAGAAGUUGUGACGGCUCUGGAAUUGCUGCCCGUUCCACUGCCUCUGCCUGCCCUCCAGAGGGGCAAGGCAAACAUCCGAGUCCUCCAGGGCGGAAUCGGCGGGGCUGAUGAGACAGCUGGAGGCCAGAGGGGGCGGCAGCGUGGGAUGCUCAGCCAGGCACGGAAGCUGGCAGAAUUUUCCAAGAUGCACAUUGACUCUUCCUGUCAAGGUGGAAGGCUCUAAAGCCGCCUGGGGCAGCUAGAUUGCAUUUGCCAAUCGCGGACUGCUGUCGCCAAUUUGUUCCUGAUCUCAAGGU
RNAcentral lists this long non-coding RNA (969 nucleotides) under Mustela putorius furo (domestic ferret). Its description in RNAcentral is "lncRNA (ENSMPUG00000025467.1)". The record is from RNAcentral. Lineage: Eukaryota; Metazoa; Chordata; Mammalia; Carnivora; Mustelidae.